Piliocolobus tephrosceles (Ugandan red Colobus) is the source of this 102-nucleotide small nuclear RNA. The record is from Ensembl. Lineage: Eukaryota; Metazoa; Chordata; Mammalia; Primates; Cercopithecidae.
AUGCUUUGGCAGAAAAUAUCUUAAAAUUGGCACAAUCCCGAGAAAAUAAACAUGUCCCUUUUUAAGGAUGACACAGAAAAUCAUGAAGCAUUUCAUUAAAAA